Molecule: small nuclear RNA, 106 nt
Organism: Nannospalax galili (Upper Galilee mountains blind mole rat)
Lineage: Eukaryota; Metazoa; Chordata; Mammalia; Rodentia; Spalacidae
Source: Ensembl
AUGCUCACUUCUGCACACAUAUACUGAAAUUGGAAUGAUGUAGAGAAGAUUAGCAUGGUUCCUGCAUCAGAAUGACAGGCAGAUCAAUGAGGUGUCCCACAAUUUU